This 67-nucleotide transfer RNA is filed under the name Proechimys brevicauda. RNAcentral describes it as "tRNA-Val". The record is from RNAcentral. Lineage: Eukaryota; Metazoa; Chordata; Mammalia; Rodentia; Echimyidae.
CAAAGUAUAGCUUAACUAAAGCACCCGGUCUACACCCGGAAGAUCUCAGAUGAACUGAUUACUUUGA